This 2269-nucleotide unclassified non-coding RNA is filed under the name Hevea brasiliensis (rubber tree). The record is from RNAcentral. Lineage: Eukaryota; Viridiplantae; Streptophyta; Magnoliopsida; Malpighiales; Euphorbiaceae.
GAACAGUUUAUUCCUGCUACUGAAGGGAGUAAUACUGGCCAGGUAUUUAGGAGGGCACGCCAUGAAGGGCAUGCUACAAUUAGGUGUCUCAUAAACGCAUGUUUACUGAAGAGGUGUGGGAAAGUGAAAUAUGUUACUAUUCCCUAUUUAUUCAGAAACUGGGCUUUGAAAACAGGUGAGGGGGUCUCCUCACUCAUUAUACCGAGCAAUGGUAUGGGUAUGUGUCAGGAUCCAAAAUGGAUUUCGCUCAAGUGCAAUGACUUGAGCUCUUCACUUCCAAGGGUAAGUUACCAUAUGGUAACCACCUUGUUUCUCCAAAGGAAUGAAGGUUUGGAUUUGGAACAGAUUCGGGAUCAUAUUUUUGUUCUCAAGAGUAGGCUACGCGUUCUGGACUUGGGUUAUACUGGCAUUAAAUCACUGCCAUCUUCUAUCUCCAAUUUAAUCAACCUGAAAGCACUAUAUCUUAACAAUUGUAGUGAGUUGGGUGAACUGCCUGCCAAAAUAAAAAAACUCAAGUCUAUAGAAAUCCUUGACAUUUGUCAAACUGGAAUUUCUCAUUGGCCUGAUGAAAUAGGAGAUAUGACUGGUCUUAGGUGUUUGAGAGUUUCAUUUAUUAGAAAUGUUGGUAAUCACCAUCAUAAUGAGGUCCAACCAUGGAAAAUAAUUGCUAGGCUUCCUUCUCUGGAAGAAUUAACUAUUGUUGUUGAUGAAGUUUAUCAAAACCAGUGGAAUGGCAUCUUCUUGGAUGAAAAGUGGAAUAAUGUUGCGCAGGAAAUUGCCGAGGAGGUGGCCAAAUUGAAGUUUUUAACCACACUUCAUAUCUACUUUCCAAGUGUAAAGUGCCUCGAUGCUUUCAUCAGGGAAAGUAAGUCAUGGAAUGAGAAAGACGGUCAAUGGGGAGAAAAAACCUUCAGAUCCUUUAAAAUCACAGUCGGUUCUUUCUCGAGGAAUUAUGAAACAGACAUGAAUGAACACAAAGCUGAACGACAUUUGAAAUUUUUUGCUUACAAUGAACUUUCAGAUUUCCAUGGAUCUUUGAGCACAAUUUCAGAGGUUCUAAAGCAGGCCUGCACCUUUGAAUUGAUUGGCCAUAAAACCAUUGAAGAUUUAUCAGGAUUUGGCAUCAAUAACAUGGCAGGGUUGAAGGUAUGCGCAAUUAAGGACUGCAAUCAAAUGAAGACCAUCAUUAGUGGCAACAAUGAAGAAGAUGCUGCACUAAAAGAGUUAAAACAACUGCAUUUAAUCAAUUUAAGUAAGUUGACUAGUAUUUGUGAGGGCUUGAUGGAGGAGGAAAGUUUUGCUAGUUUGACUACUCUUAUCAUCAGUAACUGUCACGAGUUGAGUGUAAUUCUGUCAAUCAAGAUGAUUCAGCGAAUUACUCUAUUGGAGCAUUUAAGAGUGGAAAAUUGUUCAAAAACAACGGAUAUAAUUGGAGUCAGCGAGCAGGAUGGGAACAAUCCAACUCCUUCACUCCCAAGGUUGAAAAGCUUGCAGCUGGUCAAUCUAUCAAUAUUGCAAAAUUUUUGUCAAAAUGUCACAUUGAAUGGGCCCUCCUUGCGAGCAAUGGAGAUUGAUCAGUGUUGGAUGCUACAAAAUUUACCUUUGAGCCUGAACAAUGCAGAGAAUCUAAAACUGAUCAAAUGCCAUGAAUCUUGGUGGAAUCAGUUGAAUCUUGAACCUCAUACCAGAAGCCGAUAUCAAGCAUUCUGCCAAUUUAUUUAAAGAGUUGAGAUAAAUGUUGAAGAAAUCCCCUGACAAGUAGAGAAGAGGUUCUGAUGUUUUGUCAUGACUCAUGCUAGAAAAGUGCUGGAAAAAUAGCGGAGUUGCCUAUGAGCAUUUGAAACAAGCUCAAUUGGAUCCAGAGGUUGUUACAACACAAGGUAGCAGAUUCGUAACCCCACAGAUGAAAUUCGCACAAAAUUUUUUGUAAAGCUUAUCCGUCAGUACCAGAGAAAGGGGAGCUUCAUAUUUUAAUUUCCUUUCCAUCUUUCAAUGAUGAGGAAUACAAACCUUAUUGUAGUAGGGGUGGUGGAUAGUGAAGGGCUGAAGGCAUACCUGCAUUGCCUAGCGCAGCAGAAUGAACGAGACUGGAAUUCAUGUUAAAAUUUUAUUUGGUGUUAGAUGAAGACUCAUCUCUUAUUUAUUGUGCAGAAAAUGAUCUGUCUUUGCUAAGUAUUUUGUUGUUUCCUAUGUUUGUAACUUGUAACAAUAAAAAUGAAUUGAAUUGAGUGCAUGAAAAAUUAAUAUUAAUAAAAUGCUUAACAAUUUU